GACGAACGCUGGCGGCGUGCUUAACACAUGCAAGUCGAACGGUAAGGCCCUUCGGGGUACACGAGUGGCGAACGGGUGAGUAGCACGUGGGUGAUCUGCCCUGCACUUCGGGAUAAGCCUGGGAAACUGGGUCUAAUACCGGAUAGGACCACUGCCUGCAUGGGUGGUGGUGGAAAGCUUUUGCGGUGUGGGAUGGGCCCGCGGCCUAUCAGCUUGUUGGUGGGGUGAUGGCCUACCAAGGCGACGACGGGUAGCCGGCCUGAGAGGGUGACCGGCCACACUGGGACUGAGAUACGGCCCAGACUCCUACGGGAGGCAGCAGUGGGGAAUAUUGUACAAUGGGCGCAAGCCUGAUGCAGCGACGCCGCGUGAGGGAUGACGGCAUUCGGGUUGUAAACCUCUUUCAGCACCGACGAAGCGCAAGUGACGGUAGGUGCAGAAGAAGGACCGGCCAACUACGUGCCAGCAGCCGCAGUAA
RNAcentral lists this ribosomal RNA (478 nucleotides) under uncultured bacterium. RNAcentral's name for it is "partial 16S ribosomal RNA". It matches the Rfam family "Bacterial small subunit ribosomal RNA", at positions 28 to 523 of the family's 1533-position model. The record is from RNAcentral.